GUGCUUGCUUCGGCAGCACAUAUACUACAAUUGGAAUGAUACAGAGAAGAUUAGCAUGGCUCCUGCGCAAGAAUGAUACGCAAAUUCGUGAAGCAUUCCAUAUUUUU
This is a small nuclear RNA of Fukomys damarensis (Damara mole-rat), 107 nucleotides long. Lineage: Eukaryota; Metazoa; Chordata; Mammalia; Rodentia; Bathyergidae. The record is from Ensembl.